UGCUUUUAAGUUGUAGUUCUUCGUAUUUGUAUUCCAUUUACUCAACUAUUGAUUGAAUCGUACGACCUCGAUUUAUUUGUUGGAGUGUGCUUUGGAUUCGAGGUUGUUUGAAUCGAUAUGAUUUUUUGUUGAAACAAUAUGAUUUUGAGGUAAGACUUGGUGAACAAGAGCCAUGGAUUUUAGAUUGUCUUGUUCUAGAGAAUGCUGAUCUCAAAUUUUGAACAUUUUUAUUUUAAUCCCAACAACAAACCAGUGUUGAAUCCUUU
RNAcentral lists this long non-coding RNA (266 nucleotides) under Salvia miltiorrhiza (redroot sage). Its description in RNAcentral is "long non-coding RNA (SMIL_LNC004548)". Lineage: Eukaryota; Viridiplantae; Streptophyta; Magnoliopsida; Lamiales; Lamiaceae. The record is from RNAcentral.